Molecule: ribosomal RNA, 492 nt
Filed under: uncultured bacterium
Lineage: Bacteria
Description: partial 16S ribosomal RNA
Rfam family: Bacterial small subunit ribosomal RNA
Source: RNAcentral
AGUGAACGCUGGCAGUAGGCCUAACACAUGCAAGUCGAACGGCAGCACAGUAAGAGCUUGCUCUUACGGGUGGCGAGUGGCGGACGGGUGAGGAAUACAUCGGAAUCUACUUUUUCGUGGGGGAUAACGUAGGGAAACUUACGCUAAUACCGCAUACGACCUACGGGUGAAAGCAGGGGAUCUUCGGACCUUGCGCGAUUGAAUGAGCCGAUGUCGGAUUAGCUAGUUGGCGGGGUAAAGGCCCACCAAGGCGACGAUCCGUAGCUGGUCUGAGAGGAUGAUCAGCCACACUGGAACUGAGACACGGUCCAGACUCCUACGGGAGGCAGCAGUGGGGAAUAUUGGACAAUGGGCGCAAGCCUGAUCCAGCCAUACCGCGUGGGUGAAGAAGGCCUUCGGGUUGUAAAGCCCUUUUGUUGGGAAAGAAAAGCAGCAGGUUAAUACCCCGCUGUUCUGACGGUACCCAAAGAAUAAGCGCCGGCUAACUUCGUG